This 253-nucleotide ribosomal RNA is filed under the name uncultured bacterium. RNAcentral describes it as "partial 16S ribosomal RNA". It matches the Rfam family "Bacterial small subunit ribosomal RNA", at positions 524 to 776 of the family's 1533-position model. The record is from RNAcentral.
GACAGAGGGUGCAAACGUUGUUCGGAAUUACUGGGCGUAAAGCGCGUGUAGGCAGUCCCGCAAGUCGGAUGUGAAAGCCCUGGGCUCAACCUAGGAAGUGCAUUCGAAACUGCAGGACUGGAGUCCUGGAGAGGAAGGCGGAAUUCUCGGUGUAGAGGUGAAAUUCGUAGAUAUCGAGAGGAACACCGGUGGCGAAGGCGGCCUUCUGGACAGUGACUGACGCUGAGACGCGAAAGCGUGGGGAGCAAACAGG